CAGGAUGAACGCUGGCGGCGUGCCUAACACAUGCAAGUCGAACGGAGAACCCGCCCUCGGGCGGUUAUGAAGUGGCGAACGGGUGAGUAACACGUGACCAACCCUGCCCCGCGCUCAGGGACAGCCUCGGGAAACCGGGAUUAAUACCUGAUGCGCCCCCGCCCCCGCCGAUGGGGGAGGGGGGAAAGGCCCGAAGCGGCGCGGGAUGGGGUCGCGGCCCAUCAGGUAGACGGCCGGGUAGAGGCCGGCCGUGCCGACGACGGGUAGCCGGGUUGAGAGACCGACCGGCCACAUUGGGACUGAGAUACGGCCCAGACUCCUACGGGAGGCAGCAGUGGGGAAUAUUGCGCAAUGGGGGGAAAAACCCCCUGACGCAGCAACGCCGCGUGCGGGACGACGGCCCUCGGGUUGUAAACCGCUUUCAGCAGGGAAGACAUCGACGGUACCUGCAGAAGAAGCCCCGGCUAACUACGUGCCAGCCGCCGC
Molecule: ribosomal RNA, 486 nt
Filed under: uncultured bacterium
Lineage: Bacteria
Description: bacterial SSU rRNA
Rfam family: Bacterial small subunit ribosomal RNA
Source: RNAcentral